RNAcentral lists this ribosomal RNA (230 nucleotides) under uncultured cyanobacterium. RNAcentral describes it as "partial 16S ribosomal RNA". It matches the Rfam family "Bacterial small subunit ribosomal RNA", at positions 107 to 355 of the family's 1533-position model. The record is from RNAcentral. Lineage: Bacteria; Bacillati; Cyanobacteriota.
UGAGUAACGCGUGAGAAUCUGCCUACAGGUGGAAGACAAGCACUGGAAACGGUGGCUAAUACCGGAUGUGCAGAAAUGUAAAAGAUUUAUCGCCUGAAGAGGGACUUGGGUUUGAUUAGGUAGUUGGUGGGGUAAAAGGUCAACAAGGGGAAGGUCAGUAAGUGGUUUGAGGGGAAGAUCAACCACAACGGGAAUGAGACACGGCCCAGAAUCCUAAGUGGGGAAGCCGU